UACGUAGGGGGCAAGCGUUAUCCGGAUUUACUGGGUGUAAAGGGAGCGCAGACGGAACUGCAAGUCUGAUGUGAAAGCCCGGGGCUCAACCGCGGGACUGCAUCGGAUACUGUAGAUCUGGAGUGCCGGAGGGGCAAGCGGAAUUCCUGGUGUAGUGGUGAAAUGCGUAGAGAUCAGGAGGAAUACCGAAGGCGAAGGCAGUCUUCCAAGCCGUUAUUGACGCUCAACUGCGAAGGUGUGGGUAUCAAACAGGAUUAGAUACCCCCGUA
This 269-nucleotide ribosomal RNA is filed under the name uncultured prokaryote. Its description in RNAcentral is "partial 16S ribosomal RNA". It matches the Rfam family "Bacterial small subunit ribosomal RNA", at positions 524 to 792 of the family's 1533-position model. The record is from RNAcentral.